GAGGGCGGCUGCCUUAACAUGCAAGUCGAACGGUAACAGGGAGCUUGCUCCGCUGACGAGUGGCGAACGGGUGAGUAAUACAUCGGAACGUGCCCAGUAAUGGGGGAUAGCUCGGCGAAAGCCGGAUUAAUACCGCAUACGCCCUGAGGGGGAAAGUGGGGGACCGCAAGGCCUCACGUUAUUGGAGCGGCCGAUGGCUGAUUAGCUAGUUGGUAGGGUAAAGGCCUACCAAGGCGACGAUCAGUAGCUGGUCUGAGAGGACGAUCAGCCACACUGGGACUGAGACACGGCCCAGACUCCUACGGGAGGCAGCAGUGGGGAAUUUUGGACAAUGGGGGAAACCCUGAUCCAGCAAUGCCGCGUGUGCGAAGAAGGCCUUCGGGUUGUAAAGCACUUUUGUCAGGGAAGAAAUCCUUUGGGCUAAUACCCUAGGGGGAUGACGGUACCUGAAGAAUAAGCACCGGCUAACUACGUGCCAGCAGCCGCGGUAAUACGUAGGGUGCAAGCGUUAAUCGGAAUUACUGGGCGUAAAGCGUGCGCAGGCGGUUGUGUAAGACAGGUGUGAAAUCCCCGGGCUUAACCUGGGAAUUGCAUUUGUGACUGCACGACU
This 610-nucleotide ribosomal RNA is filed under the name Limnobacter sp. RNAcentral's name for it is "bacterial SSU rRNA". It matches the Rfam family "Bacterial small subunit ribosomal RNA", at positions 35 to 642 of the family's 1533-position model. The record is from RNAcentral. Lineage: Bacteria; Pseudomonadati; Pseudomonadota; Betaproteobacteria; Burkholderiales; Burkholderiaceae.